Molecule: ribosomal RNA, 500 nt
Filed under: uncultured bacterium
Lineage: Bacteria
Description: partial 16S ribosomal RNA
Rfam family: Bacterial small subunit ribosomal RNA
Source: RNAcentral
AUUGUACGCUGGCGGCAUGCCUUACACAUGCAAGUCGAACGGCAGCACGGGAGCAAUCCUGGUGGCGAGUGGCGAACGGGUGAGUAAUAUAUCGGAACGUGCCCAGUCGUGGGGGAUAACGCAGCGAAAGCUGUUCUAAUACCGCAUACGAUCUAUGGAUGAAAGCGGGGGAUCGCAAGACCCCGCGCGAUUGGAGCGGCCGAUAUCAGAUUAGCUAGUUGGUGAGGUAAAGGCUCACCAAGGCGACGAUCUGUAGCUGGUCUGAGAGGACGACCAGCCACACUGGAACUGAGACACGGUCCAGACUCCUACGGGAGGCAGCAGUGGGGAAUUUUGGACAAUGGGCGCAAGCCUGAUCCAGCAAUGCCGCGUGCAGGAUGAAGGCCUUCGGGUUGUAAACUGCUUUUGUACGGAGCGAAACGGCCUACCCUAAUACGGUGGGCUAAUGACGGUACCGUAAGAAUAAGCACCGGCUAACUACGUGCCAGCCGCCGCAGUAA